Molecule: ribosomal RNA, 372 nt
Filed under: uncultured organism
Description: partial 16S ribosomal RNA
Rfam family: Bacterial small subunit ribosomal RNA
Source: RNAcentral
GUAGGUGGCAAGCGUUGUCCGGAAUUAUUGGGCGUAAAGCGCGCGCAGGUGGUUCUUUAAGUCUGAUGUGAAAGCCCCCGGGCUCAACCGGGGAGGGUCAUUGGAAACUGGGGAACUUGAGUGCAGGAGAGGAAAGUGGAAUUCCACGUGUAGCGGUGAAAUGCGUAGAUAUGUGGAGGAACACCAGUGGCGAAGGCGACUUUCUGGCCUGUAACUGACACUGAGGCGCGAAAGCGUGGGGAGCAAACAGGAUUAGAUACCCUGGUAGUCCACGCCGUAAACGAUGAGUGCUAAGUGUUGGGGGGUUUCCGCCCAUCAGUGCUGCAGCUAACGCAUUAAGCACUCCGCCUGGGGAGUACGGUCGCAAGACUG